RNAcentral lists this ribosomal RNA (318 nucleotides) under uncultured Bacteroidota bacterium. Its description in RNAcentral is "bacterial SSU rRNA". It matches the Rfam family "Bacterial small subunit ribosomal RNA", at positions 28 to 351 of the family's 1533-position model. The record is from RNAcentral. Lineage: Bacteria; Pseudomonadati; Bacteroidota.
GAUGAACGCUAGCGGCAGGCUUAACACAUGCAAGUCGAGGGGUAUAGUAGCAAUACUAGAGACCGGCGCACGGGUGCGUAACGCGUAUGCAAUCUACCUUUUGCAGAGGGAUAGCCCAGAGAAAUUUGGAUUAAUACCUCAUAGUAUAAUGAGUUGGCAUCAACACAUUAUUAAAGUCACAACGGCAAAAGAUGAGCAUGCGUCCCAUUAGUUAGUUGGUAAGGUAACGGCUUACCAAGACUACGAUGGGUAGGGGUCCUGAGAGGGAGAUCCCCCACACUGGUACUGAGACACGGACCAGACUCCUACGGGAGGCAG